RNAcentral lists this ribosomal RNA (362 nucleotides) under uncultured fungus. RNAcentral describes it as "eukaryotic LSU rRNA". It matches the Rfam family "Eukaryotic large subunit ribosomal RNA", at positions 40 to 398 of the family's 3401-position model. The record is from RNAcentral. Lineage: Eukaryota; Fungi.
AUAUCAAUAAGGCGAGGAACAGAAACCAACAGGGAUUCCCUCAGUAGUGGCGAAUGAAGCGGGAAAAGCUCAAGUUUGAAAUCUGGAGGGUGACCUCCAGAGUUGUAAGCUGAUGAGGUGUCGACCGACGCGGUUCGGGCUCAAUUUCCUUGGAACAGGAAGUCAUGGAGGGUGAGAACCCCGUCUAUGGCUCGAGUGCCGUCGUCCUUGUGUCGUAUCCUCCAAGAGUCGGGUUGUUUGGGAAUGCAGCUCAAAAUGGGUGGUAAAUUUCAUCUAAAGCUAAAUACUGGCGAGAGACCGAUAGCGAACAAGUAGAGUGAUCUAAAGAUGAAAAGUACUUUGAAAAGAGAGUGAAACAGUAC